UUUCAUUUUACUUCCAAUUCACACACUAUACUUUUGCUUCUAUUAUAUGUUGGGUUUUGAUGGAGAAAUAGCCCAUUAUCAUUUUAUGUAUAAUCUUAAUUAGUUUUUUAACAUAUAGUACAUCCUUUAUAAUGCAAAACCUAUAAAGACCAUUUUAUUUUGCUUAAAAUCGCCACUUCAUACUGUCAUCAUUUGAUUUUAAUUUCUAUACCUAUUAACUCCAUAAGAGAUUAUUAUUAACAUUGCUUAAAUUAUAUUUAUUUUCAUUUACUCACACAAUUAUCUGUUCCUUUGGAUUCAUUCCUCCUUUCUUUUCUAUGCUUUUCUUUGGGAUCAUCAUUCCUGUAAUGAACUUUAUUGCAUUUUCUUUUUUGAAGGAGAUGUUUUGUGGAUAAGGAAUUCAAGGUUGGCACCAAUGAGGACUCUUCAAAAUGUUUGUGGAAAAUUGAAUGAAAAGAUGUUCUUUUUGAUGCAAAAAAGUGAAACCAAUAUAUGUUCCAAAUGUAAUAACUAUUAACAUAAAGGAGCAGUAUAUGUGUUUGUUAUACUCUUUCCUAACAUACUACUGAUGUUGCCAUAAAAAAUAUAAUACUGAAUAAAAUCAUCUGAAGAUGUCUUUGUUUUUUUUUU
RNAcentral lists this long non-coding RNA (630 nucleotides) under Oryctolagus cuniculus (rabbit). RNAcentral's name for it is "lncRNA (ENSOCUG00000035823.1)". Lineage: Eukaryota; Metazoa; Chordata; Mammalia; Lagomorpha; Leporidae. The record is from RNAcentral.